Molecule: ribosomal RNA, 426 nt
Filed under: Staphylococcus aureus
Lineage: Bacteria; Bacillati; Bacillota; Bacilli; Caryophanales; Staphylococcaceae
Description: partial 23S ribosomal RNA
Rfam family: Bacterial large subunit ribosomal RNA
Source: RNAcentral
GAUGGCCAGGCUGUCUCCACCCGAGACUCAGUGAAAUUGAACUCGCUGUGAAGAUGCAGUGUACCCGCGGCAAGACGGAAAGACCCCGUGAACCUUUACUAUAGCUUGACACUGAACACUGGUCCUUGAUGUGUAGGAUAGGUGGGAGGCUUUGAAGCGUGGACGCCAGUCUGCGUGGAGCCAACCUUGAAAUACCACCCUUUAAUGGCUGGUGUUCUAACGUAGACCCGUUACCCGGGUUGCGGACAGUGUCUGGUGGGUAGUUUGACUGGGGCGGUCUCCUCCCAAAGAGUAACGGAGGAGCACGAAGGUUGGCUAAUCCUGGUCGGACAUCAGGAGGUUAGUGCAAUGGCAUAAGCCAGCUUGACUGCGAGCGUGACGGCGCGAGCAGGUGCGAAAGCAGGUCAUAGUGAUCCGGUGGUUCUG